AAAACCAUUUACUUCAUUUGCAAAUUUUAUUUGAAAAUUAUUAUAUUUUUUAGUUAUUAAAAUAUAUAUCUAUGAGUCGAGUUUGUGUUUAAUCUAGUUGCGCCCCUAGUUAGAUAUAUCACUUUAAAUUAUAAAUUAUGCCUUUAAAAAAAAUAUAGAUUUAUAUUAUCUAAUACUCUGAUUUAAGAUGGGACCACGAUUACAUUUUAUUUUACAUAUUAGACCUUAAUUAUAUUUUUAUUCUUAUUUUCUUGAUAUUGGACUAAUGAUAUAGUAAAAUCCCAUGACAUUUUUUAGUAAAUUGUGAGCAUUAAUUUCUUUCCUUUACUAAUUCCUUGAGAUAAAAAUUACGUGCCUUUCUUUUCAGCCACAUUUUUAUGUUUAUUCCUCAGCCACAUUUCUUUAAUUCUUGGGGAGCACGCAUCAUUUUAAUUUAAUAGUCUUGUGCAUCAUGAAAUUCAUUCAAUUUAAAGUUUAUCUACCAGUUUCCACCGCCUCAUUUUUAUCAUGUUUACUUCUUUCCAUUUUCUGAAAAGAUUUCAAAACCUUUCAAAACCGUAAAUUCAACCAUUGAUGUUUCCUCUCACCACAUAUCUCAUUCUGCUACUCUCAUUCAGCUGGUGCGGCGCGACUAGGACGUAUAUUUUGUUUGAAUUACUCAGAAUUAGCUUUCAAGUUGAAGUUCAAAUUCAGGUGUGGGAUUUAUUUCAGUACAUGCUGUGGUUAAUCUUUGUCCAUUUUAAUAUUAUGUGUUUACCAUAUGUGAGUUGCAUUAAAUUAUAUCGCUAGGGGCCCGCUCAAUGGGUCCAGGACUUCACAGUCCUUGGUAUGCCACAAUGCGAUUUCAUGUUAAAGUUAUGGUUGCAACCAGUCGCCAGGGGCCGGCUCAAUCGGUCCAGGACAGAAAGGUCCUUGGUAUGCCACCGUGCGACUUUCAGUUACGAAUGUAUUGAUCAUAUGUGAUUCUCAUUUUAUUAACGUGGACAAUGAUUGCAUGUUCCCACACUGAGUGUACCCUGUAUGCUCAUCCCAUACUUAACAUUUUCAGGUUUUUAAAGGCCGAAGGCGCGUGGAAGGUCGAAUGGCGAAUCAAAUGUUUUGAAUUUAGCAUUACUUAAAAAUGUUAUUUUGAGUAAAGUAUUUUAAAUAAAAUGUUUCUUUUCUUAUUUUCACAUUAAAUAUUUAUUUAUAUUCAUAGUUUUUC
Salvia miltiorrhiza (redroot sage) is the source of this 1204-nucleotide long non-coding RNA. RefSeq lists it as uncharacterized. The record is from RefSeq and is a predicted model, not a curated record. The transcript has 2 exons. NCBI's taxonomy places the organism in Eukaryota, Viridiplantae, Streptophyta, Magnoliopsida, Lamiales, Lamiaceae.